UCUAUAAAAAUUUCAAAAUAAAGUAUCUAAUUUACCCUUCUGCUUUUAAAACCCCUAAACGACGUCUACUCAUCCGUUUAUUCCCUAAAUCACGCCUCUAUUUUCUCUAAUUUGGCAUUCUUGAUUUUUGAAACUAGAUAUCAAUUCAAAUUUAAAAUAAACCUUCGAUUCCUAUAUACGUUUCUCUAGAAAUCACCGCUCAUCUUUUAUUAGAUGGUUUAACCAUCGGUUUUGGUUUUGGGUGUUUGGAAGAUUAAUUUCCUUUUUAUGUUUGUGAUUCUUGCAUAAUUGUCUACAUAUUUGGGCUUGAGGAAGAAAGUGAAAGACUCAGUUCGUUUUCUUCAGUUAGAUCAUCAACAACAUGCUUGGUACUUCCUUGGGGCUUCAAAUGGUGAAAAAGGAAAAGAUACAACACAUUAGCAUGUAUCUCAUGCCUGGUGCAACUAGAAUAAAGAAACUUGACAAAAACAUAAGAAAUUGUAGCUAUGAAGCCACAACCAUAGAAUUUUAUCACUGCACUUUUUGAUGGUUGUUUUAGGAUUUGGUGUUAUUAUUGUUAUAUUUUGUUAAACAAUUUCCUACAGCUUUAGUCAAAAGGAUGACACCUUUUGUUGCGUGGUCCAUUGGGAUGCAGGGGCGAUCCUCAUGUCUCUUCCUCUUGUCAGUCUUUGUAAGUUAAUUUGACAAGAUUUUCAUUUUUUAUAAAAGUCAUUUCUUCACUAA
Lactuca sativa (garden lettuce) is the source of this 723-nucleotide long non-coding RNA. RefSeq lists it as uncharacterized. The record is from RefSeq and is a predicted model, not a curated record. Lineage: Eukaryota; Viridiplantae; Streptophyta; Magnoliopsida; Asterales; Asteraceae.